RNAcentral lists this ribosomal RNA (254 nucleotides) under uncultured Acidobacteriota bacterium. Its description in RNAcentral is "uncultured Acidobacteria bacterium partial 16S ribosomal RNA". It matches the Rfam family "Bacterial small subunit ribosomal RNA", at positions 524 to 776 of the family's 1533-position model. Lineage: Bacteria; Pseudomonadati; Acidobacteriota. The record is from RNAcentral.
UACGGAGGGAGCAAGCGUUACUCGGAAUUAUUGGGCGUAAAGGGCGCGUAGGCGAUCUGACAAGUCCUGUGUGAAAGCCCAGAGCUUAACUCUGGAAGUGCACAGGAGACUGUCUGGAUUUGAGUUCAGGAGAGGAAAGCAGAAUUCCCGGUGUAGCGGUGAAAUGCGUAGAGAUCGGGAGGAAUACCAGUGGCGAAGGCGGCUUUCUGGACUGACACUGACGCUGAGGCGCGAAAGCCAGGGGAGCAAACGGG